AUGCUCUCGCUGCUUAAUCGAAGAAUAGUAGAUUAAAGCUUUAUCCUUACACCAGGUGUUUGGACGAGACAUCACCCGGAAGCUGUGGCUUCGAAGCGUUCCGACAAGGUGGUGCAGAAGUAUCGGAGAUAGUCUGACGGAUGUCCCGGACGGCAGAUGAAGAUUAAGGGACUAAGGUUGUGGUUGGUGGCUUCGUUCUUGCCGCAGCACAAAAAUCGAGGCGAAGAUAAGCAUGUAGAAAGCAAAUUAGUUCCUCGUUUGGACGAGAGUUCGAAUCUCUCCAGCUCCACAA
Molecule: transfer-messenger RNA, 292 nt
Filed under: Tannerella sp.
Lineage: Bacteria; Pseudomonadati; Bacteroidota; Bacteroidia; Bacteroidales; Tannerellaceae
Description: partial transfer-messenger RNA
Rfam family: transfer-messenger RNA
About the family: Bacterial tmRNA, also known as 10Sa RNA or SsrA, is named for its dual tRNA and mRNA-like properties.
Source: RNAcentral